AUCACUUUAUGUAGAUACUUUAUCAAGCAUACUACCAUUUUCUACACCUACAGCAAAUACUUUAUCAAGCAUGCUACCAUUUCCUACACCUACAGCAAGUAUGACUUCACCACCAAGUACAAGUCCUAAUUCAUUAUAUUGGCUGUUACUAAUUUUUGUCGCACCAGUAGUUAUAUUGGUCAUAACAUGUGUUAUAAUCUUAUAUUAUAUCAAAAGGAGUACACAAUCUUUUGAUUUUGUAGUCAAUGUUGUCUAGCUGAACUUACUGUAUUGCUUCAUAAAUUGGAGUAGUUAAUGAAACUUUUGAAUAUGCUGGAUUCAUUAUAAUGUUUACUGCUGCUUGAGGUACAUGUGCAGUGUUAGCAGCAUAGGCUGGAUUUUCAGUGAUGCUUUUUUCUG
This is a long non-coding RNA of Amphimedon queenslandica, 399 nucleotides long. RefSeq lists it as uncharacterized. The record is from RefSeq and is a predicted model, not a curated record. Lineage: Eukaryota; Metazoa; Porifera; Demospongiae; Haplosclerida; Niphatidae. The transcript has 3 exons.